ACGUAGGGUGCGAGCGUUAAUCGGAAUUACUGGGCGUAAAGCGUGCGCAGGCGGUUUUGUAAGUCAGAUGUGAAAUCCCCGAGCUCAACUUGGGAACUGCGUUUGAAACUACAAGACUAGAAUAUGUCAGAGGGGGGUAGAAUUCCACGUGUAGCAGUGAAAUGCGUAGAGAUGUGGAGGAAUACCAAUGGCGAAGGCAGCCCCCUGGGAUAAUAUUGACGCUCAUGCACGAAAGCGUGGGGAGCAAACAGG
RNAcentral lists this ribosomal RNA (252 nucleotides) under uncultured bacterium. Its description in RNAcentral is "partial 16S ribosomal RNA". It matches the Rfam family "Bacterial small subunit ribosomal RNA", at positions 525 to 776 of the family's 1533-position model. The record is from RNAcentral.